AUUGAACGCUGGCGGCAUGCCUUACACAUGCAAGUCGAACGGUAACGGGCCUUCGGGUGUCGACGAGUGGCGCACGGGGGAGUAAUACAUCGGAACGUGCCCGAUCGUGGGGGAUAACGAGGCGAAAGCUUUGCUAAUACCGCAUACGAUCUACGGAUGAAAACAGGGGACCGCAAGGCCUUGCGCGCACUGAGCGGCCGAUGGCAGAUUAGGUAGUUGGUGGGAUAAAAGCUUACCAAGCCGACGAUCUGUAGCUGGUCUGAGAGGAUGAUCAGCCACACUGGGACUGAGACACGGCCCAGACUCCUACGGGAGGCAGCAGUGGGGAAUUUUGGACAAUGGGCGCAAGCCUGAUCCAGCCAUGCCGCGUGCAGGAUGAAGGCCUUCGGGUUGUAAACUGCUUUUGUACGGAACGAAAAGCCUUAUGUUAAUACAGGAGGGUCAUGACGGUACCGUAAGAAUAAGCACCGGCUAACUACGUG
This 482-nucleotide ribosomal RNA is filed under the name uncultured bacterium. RNAcentral describes it as "partial 16S ribosomal RNA". It matches the Rfam family "Bacterial small subunit ribosomal RNA", at positions 30 to 507 of the family's 1533-position model. The record is from RNAcentral.